CCUCUGUUCCAAAAUAAGUUCUGCGCCUAACUUUAACCAUUCAUCUUAUUUAAUUUUUUUUUAAAAAAAAAUUAAAAACAUAAGUCACGAGUAAAGUACUAUUUAUGUUUUAUCAUCUAAUAUUAAUAAAAAUGCUAAUUAUAAAAAAUUUUUGAAUAAGACGAAUGAUCAAAGUUGGACGCGGAAAAUCAUGGUUGCACUUAUU
MicroRNA precursor from Oryza sativa Indica Group (long-grained rice), 205 nucleotides. It matches the Rfam family "MIR812 microRNA precursor family". Lineage: Eukaryota; Viridiplantae; Streptophyta; Magnoliopsida; Poales; Poaceae. The record is from Rfam.